Molecule: ribosomal RNA, 517 nt
Filed under: uncultured bacterium
Lineage: Bacteria
Description: bacterial SSU rRNA
Rfam family: Bacterial small subunit ribosomal RNA
Source: RNAcentral
AGAGUUUGAUCCUGGCUCAGGAUGAACGCUAGCGACAGGCUUAACACAUGCAAGUCGAGGGGCAGCAUAAAAGUAGCAAUACUUGGUGGCGACCGGCGCACGGGUGAGUAACGCGUAUGCAACCUACCUAUCAGAGGGGAAUAACCCGGCGAAAGUCGGACUAAUACCGCAUAAAACAGGGGCACCGCAUGGUGAUAUUUGUUAAAGAAAUUCGCUGAUAGAUGGGCAUGCGUUCCAUUAGGUAGUUGGUGAGGUAACGGCUCACCAAGCCGACGAUGGAUAGGGGAACUGAGAGGUUGGUCCCCCACACUGGUACUGAGACACGGACCAGACUCCUACGGGAGGCAGCAGUGAGGAAUAUUGGUCAAUGGGCGAGAGCCUGAACCAGCCAAGUCGCGUGAAGGAAGAAGGAUCUAUGGUUCGUAAACUUCUUUUGCAGGGGAAUAAAGUGCAGGACGUGUCCUGUUUUGUAUGUACCCUGAGAAUAAGGAUCGGCUAACUCCGUGCCAGCCGCUGC